UUGAGGGACAGGAUAGUCGCGGAGGCGUGAAAGUUUUUUUCGCGUCGAUGAGGAAAGUCCGGACACCGCAGGACACAGUGAUGGAUAACGUCCACCGGUCGUGAGGCCAGGGAAAGUGCAACAGAAAAAAUACCGCCGUGAAACGAUUUUGAUUUUCAGGGUAAGGGUGAAAUGGCGAGGUAAGAGCUCACCGCGAGGCAAGUGAUUGCGUCGGCAAGGUAAACCCCACUGGGUGCAAUGCCAAACAGAGAGAAGCAGAAUGAGUUUUCGCUUGUUCUCCCGUGUCUGUCCGGCACGGUGACUUUCGGGUAGGCAGCUGGAGACGUUCAGUAAUGGACGCCCUAGAUAAAUGACUAUCGUUCGGGCCAUGGUCCGUUCACAAAAUCCGGCUUAUUGUCCCUCCAGCUU
This 408-nucleotide RNase P RNA is filed under the name Planctomycetaceae bacterium. Its description in RNAcentral is "RNase P RNA component class A". It matches the Rfam family "Bacterial RNase P class A". From Rfam's summary of the family: Ribonuclease P (RNase P) is a ubiquitous endoribonuclease, found in archaea, bacteria and eukarya as well as chloroplasts and mitochondria. Its best characterised activity is the generation of mature 5'-ends of tRNAs by cleaving the 5'-leader elements of precursor-tRNAs. The record is from RNAcentral. RNAcentral also lists the same sequence under 1 other name. Lineage: Bacteria; Pseudomonadati; Planctomycetota; Planctomycetia; Planctomycetales; Planctomycetaceae.